This 69-nucleotide transfer RNA is filed under the name Ictidomys tridecemlineatus (thirteen-lined ground squirrel). RNAcentral's name for it is "Spermophilus tridecemlineatus (thirteen-lined ground squirrel) tRNA". It matches the Rfam family "tRNA". From Rfam's summary of the family: Transfer RNA (tRNA) molecules are approximately 80 nucleotides in length. The record is from Rfam by way of RNAcentral. Lineage: Eukaryota; Metazoa; Chordata; Mammalia; Rodentia; Sciuridae.
GGGGCUGGGGCUCAGUGGCAGAGCGCUUGCCUAGCAUGCAUGAGGCACUGGGUUCGAUUCUCAGCACCA